Molecule: long non-coding RNA, 436 nt
Organism: Leucoraja erinaceus (little skate)
Lineage: Eukaryota; Metazoa; Chordata; Chondrichthyes; Rajiformes; Rajidae
Exons: 3
Source: RefSeq, a predicted model, not a curated record
GUGAGAACAGCCGAUUGGUCCUCGCCUGUCAGUCACCAUGAAGGUAACGCCCCUUCCGGUACCCGCAGAGAAUAAAGUCCUGGAGGCGGGUCUGAGUCUGUGUGCAGGCAGAAACAAGUUGAACCGAAAGCCUCUGAGUGAAGUUGGAGUGGGACCGAGAGCUGUGCAUGAUGCCAAUAGCUGAAGGCGCAGGGUCUUUGGAGUAUGGAAGAAAACUGGAGAUUCCGGAGAAAACCCAUGCAGGCCACGGGGAUAACAUACAAACUCUGCACAGACAGCAACCAUAGUCAGGAUGGAACCCGAGCCUCUGGCGUUGGAUUGACACAAAGUUGGGUCCUGACAUAUGCAGUCUUGUCCAAAGCCACAGCUCAUGCACAGUAUGAUCACAGCCAGGACCAGUGUCGGGGCCAAACUGUAGCACAUCCUCUCAGCCUCC